UACGUAGGGUGCGAGCGUUAAUCGGAAUUACUGGGCGUAAAGUGUGCGCAGGCGGCCGCGCAAGUCGAGUGUGAAAGCCCCGGGCUUAACCUGGGAAUGGCAUUUGGGACUGCAAGGCUUGAGUGCGGCAGAGGAGACUGGAAUUCCUGGUGUAGCAGUGAAAUGCGUAGAUAUCAGGAGGAAUACCGAUGGCGAAGGCAGGUCUCUGGGCUGACACUGACGCUCAUGCACGAAAGCGUGGGGAGCAAACAGG
This 253-nucleotide ribosomal RNA is filed under the name uncultured bacterium. Its description in RNAcentral is "partial 16S ribosomal RNA". It matches the Rfam family "Bacterial small subunit ribosomal RNA", at positions 524 to 776 of the family's 1533-position model. The record is from RNAcentral.